Molecule: ribosomal RNA, 253 nt
Filed under: uncultured bacterium
Lineage: Bacteria
Description: partial 16S ribosomal RNA
Rfam family: Bacterial small subunit ribosomal RNA
Source: RNAcentral
UACGUAGGGUGCAAGCGUUGUCCGGAAUCAUUGGGCGUAAAGAGCGUGUAGGCGGCUUGGUAAGUCCGCUGUGAAAGUCCAGGGCUCAACCCUGGAAUGCCAGUGGAUACUGUCAAGCUAGAGUCCGGAAGAGGCGAGUGGAAUUCCUGGUGUAGCGGUGAAAUGCGCAGAUAUCAGGAGGAACACCAAUGGCGAAGGCAGCUCGCUGGGACGGUACUGACGCUGAGACGCGAAAGCGUGGGGAGCAAACAGG